Molecule: unclassified non-coding RNA, 303 nt
Filed under: Hevea brasiliensis (rubber tree)
Lineage: Eukaryota; Viridiplantae; Streptophyta; Magnoliopsida; Malpighiales; Euphorbiaceae
Source: RNAcentral
GCAGCAACAAAGCAUAGGAGAAUUUCUCUUCAUCUGCUACACACUACACACAUUGUUGGUCUCCAUUUCCGUUUCUGGCAGACUUUUCACAAACCUAUAUAUAUAUAUACUACUAUGUAUGCGAAAAUUCAAACAUUCACCAUUGCUCGAAACCUAGUGUGCAGUAGCGGUAGAGCAAUCGCUAAAUCAUUUUCAUCAAGGAACAUGGCCACCACCGGCGCCGCGACGGCAGACCAUCGGAACCUUAUCAGCGUCGGAAGUAAGAUUAUCGCCGUCGGUCGUAACUACGCCGCUCACGCCAAA